Seriola dumerili (greater amberjack) is the source of this 193-nucleotide long non-coding RNA. RefSeq lists it as uncharacterized. The transcript is spliced from 3 exons. Lineage: Eukaryota; Metazoa; Chordata; Actinopteri; Carangiformes; Carangidae. The record is from RefSeq and is a predicted model, not a curated record.
ACGUCGUAACUCCACCUUAAAUCUGACUGUUGUAGCAGGUGCAUGGAAAUCAGCAGCUGCUGGAUCAAUCACUGCUGUUCUCCUGGCUCUCAUCCUCCUCGCUGUCUUCCUGUGGAUCAGAAGAGAUAACUCCUUCACACAGCAGUGUAAGUGUGGAGAGAGACCUGACACCAGAGCACAGGUGAGAAAGAAG